Molecule: ribosomal RNA, 673 nt
Filed under: Streptococcus mutans
Lineage: Bacteria; Bacillati; Bacillota; Bacilli; Lactobacillales; Streptococcaceae
Description: bacterial SSU rRNA
Rfam family: Bacterial small subunit ribosomal RNA
Source: RNAcentral
UGAGUGAAGAAGGUUUUCGGAUCGUAAAGCUCUGUUGUAAGUCAAGAACGUGUGUGAGAGUGGAAAGUUCACACAGUGACGGUAGCUUACCAGAAAGGGACGGCUAACUACGUGCCAGCAGCCGCGGUAAUACGUAGGUCCCGAGCGUUGUCCGGAUUUAUUGGGCGUAAAGGGAGCGCAGGCGGUCAGGAAAGUCUGGAGUAAAAGGCUAUGGCUCAACCAUAGUGUGCUCUGGAAACUGUCUGACUUGAGUGCAGAAGGGGAGAGUGGAAUUCCAUGUGUAGCGGUGAAAUGCGUAGAUAUAUGGAGGAACACCAGUGGCGAAAGCGGCUCUCUGGUCUGUCACUGACGCUGAGGCUCGAAAGCGUGGGUAGCGAACAGGAUUAGAUACCCUGGUAGUCCACGCCGUAAACGAUGAGUGCUAGGUGUUAGGCCCUUUCCGGGGCUUAGUGCCGGAGCUAACGCAAUAAGCACUCCGCCUGGGGAGUACGACCGCAAGGUUGAAACUCAAAGGAAUUGACGGGGGCCCGCACAAGCGGUGGAGCAUGUGGUUUAAUUCGAAGCAACGCGAAGAACCUUACCAGGUCUUGACAUCCCGAUGCUAUUCUUAGAGAUAGGAAGUUACUUCGGUACGUCGGAGACAGGUGGUGCAUGGUUGUCGUCAGCUCGUGUC